UCAGCUGAACUUUGAGUCCUUAAACCCUAACCCUAACCCAAUAUGACUAUGACCUUAGAUGUAAUCCCUCGACUCCCAGAUGCUCAACUCAUCAGGAACUUCUGUUCCUGCAGUUUACUCACAAAGAGCAGCUGUCUGGAGUGUGGGUGGGCUCUCUCACUAUCUUUCCUUUCUCCAGAGAGAUUUCACUGGUCUGGAUUCCACAUCUGGCUGUGGAUUUCAGCCAUAAUGUCCCCAUUUUUGGGGGAUGUCUUCAGUUCGCCAUGUCCUCACCAGAAGUCCCAGGUGUGCCGUGUUUCUAAUGGUUCCUCGUUUCAGGACAAGGAAAGCAUGCGGUGUGUGAUGCAGGCAGUGGACAAAGCCAAUGGUUACUGUUUUGGGGACUCGGAACAAAGAAGCCUCAAUGUCUUGAUGUCUGCAGCGAUGGGAGCUGAUUUUCAUUUUACAUCCACCCUGGCAUUCCAGGAGAAGUAUGUGCAGCCACAGGAGAAAACAGUGGAGCAGGAAACUUUGGACGUGGAACCUGCCAGUUACAGCAGUCUCUGAAGGAGGGCAGAUCAAAAGGAUUUUUCAGCAAGAGCAGCGGGAGUGCUCCCUGUGGGUUAUUACCGGCCUUGAUGCAGUCGUGAACCAAACACAGGCCACCACCCUUAGGUUCCUUCCAGUUGUCGGUUAAUCAGGAGCCAGACGUUUCUGUUAGGAAAAUUGUAGAGUUGGUGACUGAAGAGCAGUUGGCAAGGUGAUAGGAUUUGGCAUCUGCUAGUUGUCAGAGAUGACCAUUCAGUGCUAGCAAAGUUGUUGCCAUAGAGUUUGUCUCCUCCAGGGUAUUAUCCUGCUUUAUUUUGCUGAGAAGUAUCGAGAAUUCUCUGUGUUGCCAUUCCACUAAUUGGUGCCUUCCAAAUGAUUGAGGGGAGGGGCUCUUGCCAAUAAUAUGCUUUGACCAUAGUCUCAAAGGCCAUGGUUGGGGAAGGCUGUUCUGUCCUUCUUAAGAGUUUGGUUGUCUGUACCCCCAAUCUCCUUUUGGCCGCUUUGAAAUGUGAUGCCAAGGAAAAACAGUGAAGCUGGAUAUUGUUGAGAAGAGUAUCUUUUGAAGCUUUUCUGGUGCUGCCAAGGGUUUGGGAUUUGCAUUUAAAGACCCAUGUACUGGAGAGAGGAAUGCUAAAUAAAGAGUUUUCAUACUU
This is a non-coding RNA of Python bivittatus (Burmese python), 1181 nucleotides long. The record is from RefSeq and is a predicted model, not a curated record. Lineage: Eukaryota; Metazoa; Chordata; Lepidosauria; Squamata; Pythonidae.